This 71-nucleotide transfer RNA is filed under the name Sphingobium fuliginis. RNAcentral describes it as "tRNA-Gly". It matches the Rfam family "tRNA". Rfam says of the family: Transfer RNA (tRNA) molecules are approximately 80 nucleotides in length. The record is from RNAcentral. Lineage: Bacteria; Pseudomonadati; Pseudomonadota; Alphaproteobacteria; Sphingomonadales; Sphingobiaceae.
GCGGGUGUAGCUCAAUGGCAGAGCUGAAGCUUCCCAAGCUUACGACGAGGGUUCGAUUCCCUUCACCCGCU